Molecule: non-coding RNA, 29 nt
Filed under: Rattus norvegicus (Norway rat)
Lineage: Eukaryota; Metazoa; Chordata; Mammalia; Rodentia; Muridae
Source: RNAcentral
CCCUAAAAAACUAUGGGAACUCUGAGUGU